AUUGAACGCUGGCGGAAUGCUUUACACAUGCAAGUCGAACGGCAGCACGGACUUCGGUCUGGUGGCGAGUGGCGAACGGGUGAGUAAUAUAUCGGAACGUGCCCAGUCGUGGGGGAUAACGUAGUGAAAAUUACGCUAAUACCGCAUACGAUCUAUGGAUGAAAGCGGGGGAUCGCAAGACCUCGCGCGAUUGGAGCGGCCGAUAUCAGAUGAGGUCGUUGGUGAGGUAAAGGCUCACCAAGCCGACGAUCUGUAGCUGGUCUGAGAGGACGACCAGCCACACUGGAACUGAGACACGGUCCAGACUCCUACGGGAGGCAGCAGUGGGGAAUUUUGGACAAUGGACGCAAGUCUGAUCCAGCCAUUCCGCGUGCAGGACGAAGGCCUUCGGGUUGUAAACUGCUUUUGUACAGAACGAAAAGGUCUCUAUUAAUACUAGGGGCUCAUGACGGUACUGUAAGAAUAAGCACCGGCUAACUACGUGCCAGCCGCCGCCGUAA
This 500-nucleotide ribosomal RNA is filed under the name uncultured bacterium. RNAcentral describes it as "partial 16S ribosomal RNA". It matches the Rfam family "Bacterial small subunit ribosomal RNA", at positions 30 to 523 of the family's 1533-position model. The record is from RNAcentral.